UACGAAGGGGGCUAGCGUUGCUCGGAAUCACUGGGCGUAAAGCGCACGUAGGCGGUUUGCUAAGUCAGGGGUGAAAUCCUGGAGCUCAACUCCAGAACUGCCUUUGAUACUGGAUGGCUUGAAUCCGGGAGAGGGAUGCGGAAUUCCAGGUGUAGCGGUGAAAUGCGUAGAUAUCUGGAGGAACACCGGUGGCGAAGGCGGCAUCCUGGACCGGCAUUGACGCUGAGGAGCGAAAGCCAGGGGAGCAAACGGG
Molecule: ribosomal RNA, 253 nt
Filed under: uncultured bacterium
Lineage: Bacteria
Description: partial 16S ribosomal RNA
Rfam family: Bacterial small subunit ribosomal RNA
Source: RNAcentral